CUUUUAUACUACUAAAAGAAAAGAUGGAUUUUGAAAGGCGUACCCAUCUACUCUACCCAUUUUUCCUGUGAAUGUGUGUUUUCUAAACUCAUCCAUAAAAAUGUUUUGUCUUCCUUUUGGCAUUUUUUUUAGUCGUCUACUUCUACGUUGAAACCAUAAAUCUAUAAUGUUUUGCAUUUUUCUUUUCAAUCUUCUUGUGCAUAAACCCUAAAUCUAUUGUGCUUAUCAUUUCCCUUGUCAUUGUUCUCGAGCACAAAUCCUAGAUCUAUGUUCUACCAUCCAAAAUUCCCCUAAUUUUCCUUUUGUUGGACAUCCUUUUUUUUUCUUGUUCAAAGAUUGGUGUUGUUUUCCUGUUUGAAAGGCUUCGCCAAAACUUUGAUGGUGAACAAGAAAAUGUAGAUGUUAAAGAUUGCAACUUUGCUCAGGGCGUUAGACGUGGGGUCGUUGACGUGGAGGUGACGCAACAACUGCAUAGCGAAGGUUUUAGUGGUACAUUUGCUCCAUAGAAAGGAAAUUCACGAAGAAAAAUGUGUAUAGAAUUAUUUGCCGUGCAACAUGGAAUACAGCCAAGUUAUGAAAUGCGAGCAAGGAAAGCUAGACGUGUUGCAAUGUUAAUAGCUCAAGAGCAUGGUGGAAAGCAAUUAGUUGGCCCUGAACGUAUACGUUCCACAAAUAAUGUUAACAAAUCGAGAUGGUUUUGAACCUGAAAGAGUUAUGAAGAAGGGAAAUAAAAGGUUACACAUGUCUUAUCGUGAGUAUUAUUGCUACAAAUUACAAGUUCGAAACUCAGACCUUCGAAACUCAACACAUUGAAGAUAAGUAAAACCAAAAUCUUGUGGAGAUGCACAUAGUGGAAAAGUGAUCAUGAGUUUAUAACGUAAAAGCGCACUUGAAAAUCAAGUGAACGUCUAGAAGGUAAUAAGUACUUAAUAGUGUUUUGUCAUCAUGCCGUACUUUUAGUCAGUUAUGUCUAUGAAUAUACUGUCGUUCAUUGUUAAAUCUCAAUAUUUCUGUUAUUUUCCUAUCGAAGUUAUAGAUUGGACCCUUCAAAUCCACAGAAGGUUAAAAGGCAAAAUUGAAGGUCAAAGUACGCCUAAAUUUGCAUGGUACCAUUUCAAAUCAGUUGCAACCCUAAGUCUCUCUUUGUAUAACUCUUUGAAGUAAGUAUUUUGUUGAAUAUUUCUAUGAACUAUAACAAUCCUGUUUGAAUUUAAAUUAAUUUAAAUCAGCUACUAGUUCUUUCGUGAAUUUUUUACUAUUCUUAUGUUUCCAUGUGAAUACGCCCGUGUAUUGUUUAUGGUAGAAGGAAAAAAAUUGCAUUGCAUCUCACUUAAAGUGGGAUCAAGAUAGUAACUGAUAAGAAGUAACAUAAUUAAGGUGGCCAUGUAUUAGUAAAUAUAUUUUUGAUACAUUUAAAUGGAAGUCUUGACAUUUAUGACCAUUAUGGCUAGACUCUCUAAAUAUCCAAGUGUCUGUUCACAAAUUUCAAUUUAGUUACAUAUUGCAGAAAAGUAUGCAAAAAGAAAUAAUGCAUAUCUGAGCAACCACAUUUGUAGAAAUGAUUGUCAGAAUACUUUUGCACUAUGAUUUGAGUACACAUAUUUCUGUUACUGUUUGCUUUACUUUUUGGAAAUAUUACCUGUAUUUUCCUGAAAAAAGUUUACUUUA
Molecule: long non-coding RNA, 1668 nt
Organism: Olea europaea var. sylvestris
Lineage: Eukaryota; Viridiplantae; Streptophyta; Magnoliopsida; Lamiales; Oleaceae
Exons: 5
Source: RefSeq, a predicted model, not a curated record